Molecule: ribosomal RNA, 407 nt
Filed under: uncultured bacterium
Lineage: Bacteria
Description: partial 16S ribosomal RNA
Rfam family: Bacterial small subunit ribosomal RNA
Source: RNAcentral
AUUGAACGCUGGCGGCAGGCCUAACACAUGCAAGUCGAGCGGAGCGGCGGACGGGUGAUUAAUGCCUAGGAAUCUGCCUGGUAGUGGGGGAUAACGUCCGGAAACGGGCGCUAAUACCGCAUACUAUCAGAUGAGCCUAGGUCGGAUUAGCUAGUUGGUGGGGUAAAGGCCUACCAAGGCGACGAUCCGUAACUGGUCUGAGAGGAUGAUCAGUCACGCUGGAACGGAGACACGGGCAAGAAGACGAAGGGAGGCAGCAGUGGGGGAGAUGGCACAAGGGGCGAAAGCCUGAUGCAGUGACGCCGCGUGGGGGAUGAAGGCUUUCGGGUUGUAAACCUCGUUCGCUAGCGAACGGGUAGGUGGAGAAGAAGCGCCGGCUAACUACGUGCCAGCAGCCGCGGUAAUAC